UUUUUGAUUGUGAAGCACACAACAACAAAAGCGCUGUGUAUAUGUGCGCGCGGUGUGAAAAAAAUCAAUUGGUGGCAGAGAUGCCAGUAGCAAGAAAAAGCAGCAGCAGCAGCAGAGGCAAAGACGCAGAACUACGGGAUGAUGUUGGCGAUGAUAUAGUGAUUGUGGUGCCCCUCUGUGGCUCUUGGAGUUUUUUCAGUGAAUCUUUGAGUGACCAUGAAAAUGCCAGCGAGAAAUUUUCAAAAAUCAAUGAGCACAAGUGAAAUACAAGCAACAACAACAAAAUCAUUCAACAAAAAAGUGAAGCAUCAACCAUCAACCAUCAACAACAACAACAACAAAGCGAAACGCGCAGAAAUAACCGCAAUAAAAAAAUAAUCAAAAAAAUAGUAAUAUUAAUAAUAAUAAUAAUAGCGUUUAAGUGAAAUCCGCUGCUGGCUGGCUGGCUGGCUGGCUGAAGAAAACCGUUAUGCUGCACUGCCUCCCACAGCUGGGCCGCAGCUAGAGCUAGUGGACACUCGGACGAACAUCAUGGAUGGACAGCGGGCCCGCGAUCUGCUAACGCUGCUCCAGGAGCGUGUCGUCUUCCUCACGGGCGGCAGGGACAGGCGUGGCGGUCCACUGCUCUGCUUCCCCGCAACGCCGCGUCGCGACCGCCUCAAGCCGGAGGAUCUGCGACGGCUGCUCAGCUACCUAAUCAGCAUACCCAGGUGAGUG
RNAcentral lists this unclassified non-coding RNA (717 nucleotides) under Drosophila pseudoobscura pseudoobscura. RNAcentral describes it as "GA30672". Lineage: Eukaryota; Metazoa; Arthropoda; Insecta; Diptera; Drosophilidae. The record is from RNAcentral.